UGGGGAAUAUUGCACAAUGGGCGCAAGCCUGAUGCAGCCAUGCCGCGUGUGUGAAGAAGGCCUUCGGGUUGUAAAGCACUUUCAGCGAGGAGGAAGGGUUCAGUGUUAAUAGCACUGUUCAUUGACGUUACUCGCAGAAGAAGCACCGGCUAACUCCGUGCCAGCAGCCGCGGUAAUACGGAGGGUGCAAGCGUUAAUCGGAAUUACUGGGCGUAAAGCGCACGCAGGCGGUUUGUUAAGUCAGAUGUGAAAUCCCCGAGCUUAACUUGGGAACUGCAUUUGAAACUGGCAAGCUAGAGUCUUGUAGAGGGGGGUAGAAUUCCAGGUGUAGCGGUGAAAUGCGUAGAGAUCUGGAGGAAUACCGGUGGCGAAGGCGGCCCCCUGGACAAAGACUGACGCUCAGGUGCGAAAGCGUGGGGAGCAAACA
Molecule: ribosomal RNA, 427 nt
Filed under: uncultured bacterium
Lineage: Bacteria
Also listed under: 1 other name
Description: bacterial SSU rRNA
Rfam family: Bacterial small subunit ribosomal RNA
Source: RNAcentral